This 586-nucleotide ribosomal RNA is filed under the name uncultured Wolbachia sp. Its description in RNAcentral is "bacterial SSU rRNA". It matches the Rfam family "Bacterial small subunit ribosomal RNA", at positions 129 to 749 of the family's 1533-position model. Lineage: Bacteria; Pseudomonadati; Pseudomonadota; Alphaproteobacteria; Rickettsiales; Anaplasmataceae. The record is from RNAcentral.
CCCGGAACUACGGAAUAACAUGAAGAAAUUUAUGCUAAUACCGUAUACGCCCUUUUGGGGAAAGAUUUAUUGGUUUCGGAUGAGCCCGCGUUGGAUUAGCUUGUUGGUAGGGUAAUGGCCUACCAAGGCGACGAUCCAUAGCUGGUCUGAGAGGAUGAUCAGCCACACUGGGACUGAGACACGGCCCAGACUCCUACGGGAGGCAGCAGUGGGGAAUAUUGGACAAUGGGCGCAAGCCUGAUCCAGCCAUGCCGCGUGAGUGAUGAAGGCCUUAGGGUUGUAAAGCUCUUUCACCGGUGAAGAUAAUGACGGUAACCGGAGAAGAAGCCCCGGCUAACUUCGUGCCAGCAGCCGCGGUAAUACGAAGGGGGCUAGCGUUGUUCGGAUUUACUGGGCGUAAAGCGCACGCAGGCGGAUAUUUAAGUCAGAGGUGAAAUCCCGGGGCUCAACCCUGGAAUUGCCUUUGAUACUGGGUAUCUGGAGUACAGAAGAGGUAAGUGGAAUUCCGAGUGUAGAGGUGAAAUUCGUAGAUAUUCGGAGGAACACCNGUGGCGAANGCGGCUUACUGGUCUGUUACUGANGCUGA